ACGAACGCUGGCGGCGUGCUUAACACAUGCAAGUCGAGCGGUAAGGCCCUUUCGGGGGUACACGAGCGGCGAACGGGUGAGUAACACGUGAGUAAUCUGCCCUUCACUUGGGGAUAAGCUUCGGAAACGGGGUCUAAUACCUGAUACGACAACUCCCUGCAUGGGGUGGUUGUGGAAAGUUUUUUCGGUGGAGGAUGUGCUCGCGGCCUAUCAGCUUGUUGGUGGGGUAAUGGCCUACCAAGGCUUCGACGGGUAGCCGGCCUGAGAGGGUGACCGGCCACACUGGGACUGAGACACGGCCCAGACUCCUACGGGAGGCAGCAGUGGGGAAUAUUGGACAAUGGGCGGAAGCCUGAUCCAGCAACGCCGCGUGAGGGAUGACGGCCUUCGGGUUGUAAACCUCUUUCAGUACCGACGAAGCGCCCGUUGUGGGUGGUGACGGUAGGUACAGAAGAAGCACCGGCCAACUACGU
Molecule: ribosomal RNA, 473 nt
Filed under: uncultured bacterium
Lineage: Bacteria
Description: bacterial SSU rRNA
Rfam family: Bacterial small subunit ribosomal RNA
Source: RNAcentral